This 785-nucleotide ribosomal RNA is filed under the name Bacillus mojavensis. Its description in RNAcentral is "bacterial SSU rRNA". It matches the Rfam family "Bacterial small subunit ribosomal RNA", at positions 57 to 824 of the family's 1533-position model. Lineage: Bacteria; Bacillati; Bacillota; Bacilli; Caryophanales; Bacillaceae. The record is from RNAcentral.
GCAAGUCGAGCGGACAGAUGGGAGCUUGCUCCCUGAUGUUAGCGGCGGACGGGUGAGUAACACGUGGGUAACCUGCCUGUAAGACUGGGAUAACUCCGGGAAACCGGGGCUAAUACCGGAUGCUUGUUUGAACCGCAUGGUUCAAACAUAAAAGGUGGCUUCGGCUACCACUUACAGAUGGACCCGCGGCGCAUUAGCUAGUUGGUGAGGUAACGGCUCACCAAGGCAACGAUGCGUAGCCGACCUGAGAGGGUGAUCGGCCACACUGGGACUGAGACACGGCCCAGACUCCUACGGGAGGCAGCAGUAGGGAAUCUUCCGCAAUGGACGAAAGUCUGACGGAGCAACGCCGCGUGAGUGAUGAAGGUUUUCGGAUCGUAAAGCUCUGUUGUUAGGGAAGAACAAGUACCGUUCAAAUAGGGCGGUACCUUGACGGUACCUAACCAGAAAGCCACGGCUAACUACGUGCCAGCAGCCGCGGUAAUACGUAGGUGGCAAGCGUUGUCCGGAAUUAUUGGGCGUAAAGGGCUCGCAGGCGGUUCCUUAAGUCUGAUGUGAAAGCCCCCGGCUCAACCGGGGAGGGUCAUUGGAAACUGGGGAACUUGAGUGCAGAAGAGGAGAGUGGAAUUCCACGUGUAGCGGUGAAAUGCGUAGAGAUGUGGAGGAACACCAGUGGCGAAGGCGACUCUCUGGUCUGUAACUGACGCUGAGGAGCGAAAGCGUGGGGAGCGAACAGGAUUAGAUACCCUGGUAGUCCACGCCGUAAACGAUGAGUGCUAAGUGUU